UUCCGGUUGAUCCUGCCGGACCCCACUGCUAUCGAGGUGAGACUUAGCCAGGCCAGUCGAACGACUCGGACUAUGGCGAGAAGUGGCAAACUGCUCAGUAACACGUAGCUAACCUACCCUCAGGACGGAGACAACCCCGGGAAACUGGGGUUAAUCCCUGAUAGGCGUGGAUUCCUGGAAUGGUGUCACGCCGAAACGUUAACACACCAUGUUUGUGUAUACGCCUGAGGAUGGGGCUGCGGCCGAUCAGGCAGUUGGUGAGGUAACGGCUCACCAAACCUUUGACCGGUACGGGCCGUGAGAGCGGUAGCCCGGAGAUGGACACUGAGACAAGGGUCCAGGACCUACGGGUCGCAGCCGGUACGAAACCUCCACAAUGCACGAAAGUGCGAUGGGGUUACCUCGAGUGCCGUCUGAAGAAGGCGGCUUUUCCAUUGUGUAAUGAGCCGUGGGAAUAAGGGGGGGGCAAGACUGGUGUCAGCCGCCGCGGUAACACCAGCCCCCCGAGUGGUGGGGAUGUUUAUUUGGCCUAAAACGUCCGUAGCCAGCUAGGUAAAUCUUUCGUUAAAUCCAGCGUCCUAAGCGUUGGGCUGCGAGAGAGACUGCCAAGCUAGAGGGUGGGAGAGGUCAGCGGUAUUUCUGGGGUAGGGGCGAAAUCCAUUGAUCCCAGGAGGACCACCAGUGGCGAAGGCUGCUGACUAGAACACGCCUGACGGUGAGGGACGAAAGCUGGGGUAGCGAAUCGGAUUAGAUACCCGAGUAGUCCCAGCCGUAAACGAUGCAGGCUAGGUGUUGGGUUGGCCACGUGCCGACUCAGUGCCACAGGGAAGCCAUUAAGCCUGCUGCCUGGGGAGUACGGUCCGCAAGGCUGAAACUUAAAGGAAUUGGGCGGGAGAGCACCACCAGGCCGUGAAGCCUGCGGUUUAAUUGGAGUCAACGCCGGA
This 944-nucleotide ribosomal RNA is filed under the name uncultured archaeon. RNAcentral describes it as "bacterial SSU rRNA". It matches the Rfam family "Archaeal small subunit ribosomal RNA", at positions 1 to 922 of the family's 1478-position model. The record is from RNAcentral.